Molecule: long non-coding RNA, 736 nt
Organism: Hypomesus transpacificus
Lineage: Eukaryota; Metazoa; Chordata; Actinopteri; Osmeriformes; Osmeridae
Exons: 4
Source: RefSeq, a predicted model, not a curated record
ACAACCUGGUACCUACGUUCCUGGCCUCCUUGUACUUCCGAGUCUAUUAUCUACUAUUUGUAUUCAAAGUGUUCUAAUAUUGCACUUUCUUGUGUCCCAAAGAAACAUCCCACUCACCCCAACUCUCAUCUGCCUGCCUACGCGCUCUGCUUGCUACCUGCCUCGGUGUUUAAAAUGACCAAACCCAAAAGCAGGCCUUGCCCUCACUGCCAGGUCAUGAAUACUGUCAACCGCAAAACAUGCCUUUCAUGUUUUGCAAGCCUCUCACAAAAAAAGAGGAUUAAGUCCAAGGAGGAGAGUUUGCAUGUUGGUGACUGGGGGGAGAAUGUGAAGAAGCACCGCAACGCAGGCAGAGUAAUAGAUUCAGCCCGCAUAUCUGUCAAUAAGCUGCAUGAACUGGACUUAAAGCCCCUGCUCUUCAUGGGGAAAGAGAAGAGAGGGGGGGGGGUUUACAGCAGAGGUCAUUGCAGGCAUAGGCUUCAUACCAGAGGGGCCUGUGAGGGAGAUCAUUAAAAAAAUGACCACCCUUUAUGAAUACUAUCUUAAAUACCACAAUAGCCUCGUUGCCACAGCUGGUGAAGAAACAAGAGAAGAAACACCAGAAGCAACAUCCCCUGCCUCCACUCAGGAUCAAACCUUCACCCUUAACCUUGUCCCGGUCCCCCACCCACCUCCUAUGACUUCCUCUCUCUCUUUAUCUACUCUUCCUACUCCCUCUCUCUCUACAUCUACUCUU